UCCGUAGGUGAACCUGCGGAAGGAUCAUUACAACAACAAUACAACUUUGUGUCUGAACAAUAACUUCAAGUACCGAUCAUCAAAUUGUUAAAACAAAACUUUCAACAACGGAUCUCUAGGUUCUCGCAUCGAUGAAGAACGCAGC
RNAcentral lists this ribosomal RNA (145 nucleotides) under Diutina rugosa. RNAcentral's name for it is "partial contains small subunit ribosomal RNA, internal transcribed spacer 1, 5.8S ribosomal RNA". The stretch from base 97 to 145 matches the Rfam family "5.8S ribosomal RNA", at positions 1 to 49 of the family's 154-position model. The record is from RNAcentral. Lineage: Eukaryota; Fungi; Ascomycota; Pichiomycetes; Serinales; Debaryomycetaceae.